GGACUACCCGGGUAUCUAAUCCUGUUUGCUCCCCACGCUCUCGCGCCUCAGCGUCAGUGUCGGUCCAGGUAGCCGCCUUCGCCACCGAUGUUCCUUCCGAUAUCUACGCAUUUCACUGCUACACCGGAAAUUCCACUACCCUCUACCGCACUCCAGAUCAACAGUCUCAAUGGCCAUUCCUAGGUUAAGCCCAGGGAUUUCACCAUUCUCUUAUCAACCCGCCUACGCGCCCUUUACGCCCAGUCAUUCCGAUUAACGCUCGCACCCUCUGUAUUACCGCGGCGGCUGGCAC
This 292-nucleotide ribosomal RNA is filed under the name uncultured bacterium. Its description in RNAcentral is "partial 16S ribosomal RNA". The record is from RNAcentral.